UUGGAGGGCAAGUCUGGUGCCAGCAGCCGCGGUAAUUCCAGCUCCAAUAGCGUAUAUUAAAGUUGUUGCAGUUAAAAAGCUCGUAGUUGAAUUUCGGGGUCAGUAGGUUGGUCAUGCCACUGGUAUGUACUGGUCUCACUGAUUCCUCCUUCCUGAUGAGCUGUAAUGCCAUUAAUUUGGUGUUGCGGGGAAUCUGGACUGUUACUUUGAAAAAAUUAGAGUGUUUAAAGCAGGCUAACGCCUGAAUACAUUAGCAUGGAAUAAUGAAAUAGGACGUUCGAUCCUAUUUUGUUGGUUUCUAGGAUUGACGUAAUGAUUAAUAGGGAUAGUUGGGGGCAUUAGUAUUCAAUUGUCAGAGGUGAAAUUCUUGGAUUUAUUGAAGACUAACUACUGCAAAAGCAUUUGCCAAGGAUGUUUUCAUUAAUCAAGAACGAAAGUUAGGGGAUUGAAGAUGAUUAGAUACCGUUGUAGUCUUAACCAUAAACUAUGCUGACUAGGAAUCAGUCGAUGUUAAUUUUUUAAUGACUCGUUUGGCACCUUACGGGAAAC
RNAcentral lists this ribosomal RNA (549 nucleotides) under uncultured Glomeraceae. Its description in RNAcentral is "SSU rRNA". It matches the Rfam family "Eukaryotic small subunit ribosomal RNA", at positions 548 to 1098 of the family's 1831-position model. Lineage: Eukaryota; Fungi; Glomeromycota; Glomeromycetes; Glomerales; Glomeraceae. The record is from RNAcentral.